UAUCUGUAGUGUUGGACCCAGACUGGGUUGGUGGUGGUACCUAAGAGUACACCAGACUACAGGAAGCUGAGGCAUGCUGCUUGACAGUCAGUGGUUCCAUGUGCAAUUUUCCUCUGGCAGGCCCAGGGUAUGGUUGCCAUGGUGAUAACAGCCGUGCAGUGUCGUUAUUGAUCCACCAAUAGUCAGAGAAGCUUUGCAGUCAGGAUAUUGUUUAGUAGACAGAGUGGUUUCGGAUGGACACUAAUUCCUUCCACAAAA
This is a non-coding RNA of Onychomys torridus (southern grasshopper mouse), 258 nucleotides long. NCBI's taxonomy places the organism in Eukaryota, Metazoa, Chordata, Mammalia, Rodentia, Cricetidae. The record is from RefSeq and is a predicted model, not a curated record.